UCUUCAGCAAGAUUUCAUUAGUGAAGGACCGCUAACGGUAACUAACCAGGAUGCCGGUCAUCAAUGUCGACGACCUCACAGACAAGGACAAGGCUUUAAUGGAAGUAAACCAACUCAAACUGGAGGUUAAACUUGAAAGGUGGUUGACAUCUAAAUGCUGUGAGGAAAUGAAGGAAUACAUUCAGGAAAGAGUGGAAGAGGACACCCUUGUGAAAGGCAUUUCAGAGGAGAAGAACCCCUUCAAAGAGAAAGGUGGCUGUGUCAUCUGCUAGAACGGACCUGGGCUUCUCCUAUCUCAGAUUAGCAACCAAGGACAUUCUCCCUCCUCUUCAUAAAUGGAUUUGCAAGGAGAUGACUAGAUUGGAUACAAUUUAUGAAACUGCACAUGCUCCCAUGUAAAUGAUCCCCAUUUUCUCUACAGGUUUUUAGCCUUAUAAUUAAAUUCUUCAGAAGAGUAUUAUAAAUAACGGUUUGAUUUGGUAAGAUAACGCUUCCCUCUUGUGUGAUGUACAUAGCCUGAGCGAGUGGACCCCUGUCUUGCCUCACACACUGAAGCAACUCUCAUUAAAUGUGCAUGUUUACAACUUA
Oryzias latipes (Japanese medaka) is the source of this 588-nucleotide non-coding RNA. NCBI's taxonomy places the organism in Eukaryota, Metazoa, Chordata, Actinopteri, Beloniformes, Adrianichthyidae. The record is from RefSeq and is a predicted model, not a curated record.